CAAAAACAUCGCCUCUUGAAAUACUAACCAUAAGAGGUCCCGCCUGCCCGGUGACCCCGUGUUUAACGGCCGCGGUACUUUGACCGUGCGAAGGUAGCGCAAUCACUUGUCUUUUAAAUGGAGACCCGUAUGAAUGGCAUAACGAGGGCCUAACUGUCUCCUUUCUCUAGUCAAUGAAAUUGAUCUUCCCGUGCAGAAGCGGGAAUAAAUACAUAAGACGAGAAGACCCUGUGGAGCUUUAGACACUAAGAUAGACCAUGUAAACCACCCCUCAUUUCAAGGGCAGAACACAUUGAGCCCCCUGUCCUGAUGUCUUUGGUUGGGGCGACCUCGGAGUAACACAAAACCUCCAAGUGGAACAGGAGUACUACACUCCCAAAAGCAAGAGCCACAGCUCAAAUUAACAGAACUUCUGACCAGUUUUAAACAGAUCCGGCUCACCACGCCGAUCAACGGACAGAGUUACCCCAGGGAUAACAGCGCAAUCCCCUUUUAGAGUCCAUAUCGACAAGGGGGUUUACGACCUCGAUGUUGGAUCAGGACAUCCUACUGGUGCAGCCGCUAUUAAGGGUUCGUUUGUUCAACGAUUAAAGUCCUACGUGAUCUGA
This 608-nucleotide ribosomal RNA is filed under the name Chromis atripes (dark-fin chromis). RNAcentral's name for it is "partial 16S ribosomal RNA". It matches the Rfam family "Bacterial large subunit ribosomal RNA", at positions 1808 to 2608 of the family's 2925-position model. Lineage: Eukaryota; Metazoa; Chordata; Actinopteri; Pomacentridae. The record is from RNAcentral.